This 482-nucleotide ribosomal RNA is filed under the name Microbacterium sp. 15d. RNAcentral's name for it is "bacterial SSU rRNA". It matches the Rfam family "Bacterial small subunit ribosomal RNA", at positions 77 to 573 of the family's 1533-position model. Lineage: Bacteria; Bacillati; Actinomycetota; Actinomycetes; Micrococcales; Microbacteriaceae. The record is from RNAcentral.
AGCUUGCUUGGUGGAUCAGUGGCGAACGGGUGAGUAACACGUGAGCAACCUGCCCUGGACUCUGGGAUAAGCGCUGGAAACGGCGUCUAAUACUGGAUAUGAGCCCCUAUCGCAUGGUGGGGGUUGGAAAGAUUUUUUGGUCUGGGAUGGGCUCGCGGCCUAUCAGCUUGUUGGUGAGGUAAUGGCUCACCAAGGCGUCGACGGGUAGCCGGCCUGAGAGGGUGACCGGCCACACUGGGACUGAGACACGGCCCAGACUCCUACGGGAGGCAGCAGUGGGGAAUAUUGCACAAUGGGCGAAAGCCUGAUGCAGCAACGCCGCGUGAGGGAUGACGGCCUUCGGGUUGUAAACCUCUUUUAGCAGGGAAGAAGCGAAAGUGACGGUACCUGCAGAAAAAGCGCCGGCUAACUACGUGCCANCAGCCGCGGUAAUACGUAGGGCGCAAGCGUUAUCCGGAAUUAUUGGGCGUAAAGAGCUCGUA